This 538-nucleotide ribosomal RNA is filed under the name uncultured bacterium. RNAcentral's name for it is "bacterial SSU rRNA". It matches the Rfam family "Bacterial small subunit ribosomal RNA", at positions 355 to 896 of the family's 1533-position model. The record is from RNAcentral.
UGAGGAAUAUUGCGCAAUGGGCGAAAGCCUGACGCAGCGACGCCGCGUGGGGGAUGAAGGUUUUCGGAUUGUAAACCCCUUUUGUGAGGAAAGAUAAAGUGGGUAACCACUUAGACGGUACCUCAAGAAAAAGCCACGGCUAACUUCGUGCCAGCAGCCGCGGUAAUACGAAGGUGGCGAGCGUUGUUCGGAUUUACUGGGCGUAAAGAGCACGUAGGCGGUUGGGUAAGCCUCUUGGGAAAGCUCCCGGCUUAACCGGGAAAGGUCGAGGGGAACUACUCAGCUAGAGGACGGGAGAGGAGCGCGGAAUUCCCGGUGUAGCGGUGAAAUGCGUAGAGAUCUGGAGGAACACCGAUGGCGAAGGCAGCCCCCUGGGCUAACACUGACGCUCAUGCACGAAAGCGUGGGGAGCAAACAGGAUUAGAUACCCUGGUAGUCCACGCCCUAAACGAUGUCAACUAGUUGUCGGGGAAGCAAUUCCUUGGUAACGAAGCUAACGCGUGAAGUUGACCGCCUGGGGAGUACGGCCGCAAGGUUA